Molecule: long non-coding RNA, 919 nt
Organism: Scophthalmus maximus (turbot)
Lineage: Eukaryota; Metazoa; Chordata; Actinopteri; Pleuronectiformes; Scophthalmidae
Exons: 3
Source: RefSeq, a predicted model, not a curated record
GUUUGCAUGUCAAGAAGAAGAAGAGGAGAGAAGGGGGGGGGGAGUCUGCUAAACAGUCCAUUGCGCGCAGCGGCGCGCGUUUUUGCUCCGUACAGAGUCGGAGCCUGUUGUUUUAACGGCGGAGGGCGACGUGCCAGCGUCGCUCCCCGCACACCUGAGCGGAAUAUGAAACCACGCAGCCCGAACACAGCCUGAAGGAGAAUCAGACGAGCCACCGAGGACAGCGACGGAUAACGGAGAGAGAGACAUAGAGAUAUGAUGGUGACACAAUGAUGAGAGACUGGCAGACCAUCUUCAGAAUGCCAGCAGUGACUGAUGCCACACCAGACAUUCCUUUCAGAGGAAACGGCGGCGUGGUCAGCACCAUGCCAGCUUCCACAGGCCCUCAGGAAAUCAACCCCCCUCCCUUUAAGCAGAGACCACGGCAGUGAUGGCCCGAGCUUCCAACAGAUGUGUGGAACUGUGCAAAUGGGAAAACAAACAAUGUGGGAGGGAAGCUGUGUUUGGUCUCAACUUUUCAGAUUUUCUUUUUGUCUUUAUAAUUUGCUGCACUUUUGUUUUUCAUUUAACUUUGUCGUGUAUUGGCUCAACAAAUUAUAAAAACGUCUUUCCUGUUUUGAAGGAAUACUUAAAGAAAACCAACAUCUCAAGAUCUUCCUUUACUCAAUAAUUGUUGCAUCAAUCUGCUGUGUUCAUCGAAUCCCCAAAACAAUGUUGUGAUGAACUUUCUUUCUUUGGUCUACCCAAUAUUCCCGUCCUGCAUCAUCAGCCUCUAAUUCAGGGAUGGGCACAUUUGAUAAUGUUGGAUGGAUUAUGGUCGCACCAGAAUUAGGGAGCUCUGUCGGCCCAAAUGAUUUAUUCUCUCAUGUUUAAGCAAAUUAAAACACACCUUCACUUGUUGGCUUUUAACUGAAUGAAA